This 486-nucleotide ribosomal RNA is filed under the name uncultured bacterium. RNAcentral's name for it is "partial 16S ribosomal RNA". It matches the Rfam family "Bacterial small subunit ribosomal RNA", at positions 30 to 507 of the family's 1533-position model. The record is from RNAcentral.
AUUGAACGCUGGCGGCAUGCCUUACACAUGCAAGUCGAACGGCAGCACGGGUGCUUGCACCUGGUGGCGAGUGGCGAACGGGUGAGUAAUACAUCGGAACAUGUCCUGUAGUGGGGGAUAGCCCGGCGAAAGCCGGAUUAAUACCGCAUUCGAUCCACGGAUGAAAGCGGGGGACCUUCGGGCCUCGCGCUAUCGGGUUGGCCGAUGGCUGAUUAGCUAGUUGGUGGGGUAAAGGCCUACCAAGGCGACGAUCAGUAGCUGGUCUGAGAGGACGACCAGCCACACUGGGACUGAGACACGGCCCAGACUCCUACGGGAGGCAGCAGUGGGGAAUUUUGGACAAUGGGCGAAAGCCUGAUCCAGCAAUGCCGCGUGUGUGAAGAAGGCCUUCGGGUUGUAAAGCACUUUUGUCCGGAAAGAAAUCCUUGACUCUAAUACAGUCGGGGGAUGACGGUACCGGAAGAAUAAGCACCGGCUAACUACGUG